GGUUAAGCGACUAAGCGUACACGGUGGAUGCCCUGGCAGUCAGAGGCGAUGAAGGACGUGCUAAUCUGCGAAAAGCGCCGGCGAGGUGAUAUGAACCUUUGACCCGGCGAUGUCCGAAUGGGGAAACCCAGUGCAAUUCGUUGCACUAUCGUUAACUGAAUACAUAGGUUAACGAGGCGAACCGGGGGAACUGAAACAUCUAAGUACCCCGAGGAAAAGAAAUCAACCGAGAUUCCCCCAGUAGCGGCGAGCGAACGGGGAGCAGCCCAGAGUCUGAAUCAGCUUGUGUGUUAGUGGAAGCGUCUGGAAAGUCGCACGGUACAGGGUGACAGUCCCGUACACGAAAGCACACAGGUUGUGAACUCGAAGAGUAGGGCGGGACACGUGGUAUCCUGUCUGAAUAUGGGGGGACCAUCCUCCAAGGCUAAAUACUCCUGACUGACCGAUAGUGAACCAGUACCGUGAGGGAAAGGCGAAAAGAACCCCGGCGAGGGGAGUGAAAAAGAACCUGAAACCGUGUACGUACAAGCAGUGGGAGCACCUUCGUGGUGUGACUGCGUACCUUUUGUAUAAUGGGUCAGCGACUUAUAUUCUGUAGCAAGGUUAACCGUAUAGGGGAGCCGAAGGGAAACCGAGUCUUAACUGGGCGUUAAGUUGCAGGGUAUAGACCCGAAACCCGGUGAUCUAGCCAUGGGCAGGUUGAAGGUUGGGUAACACUAACUGGAGGACCGAACCGACUAAUGUUGAAAAAUUAGCGGAUGACUUGUGGCUGGGGGUGAAAGGCCAAUCAAACCGGGAGAUAGCUGGUUCUCCCCGAAAGCUAUUUAGGUAGCGCCUCGUGAACUCAUCUUCGGGGGUAGAGCACUGUUUCGGCUAGGGGGCCAUCCCGGCUUACCAACCCGAUGCAAACUACGAAUACCGAAGAAUGUUAUCACGGGAGACACACGGCGGGUGCUAACGUCCGUCGUGAAGAGGGAAACAACCCAGACCGCCAGCUAAGGUCCCAAAGUCAUGGUUAAGUGGGAAACGAUGUGGGAAGGCACAGACAGCCAGGAUGUUGGCUUAGAAGCAGCCAUCAUUUAAAGAAAGCGUAAUAGCUCACUGGUCGAGUCGGCCUGCGCGGAAGAUGUAACGGGGCUAAACCAUGCACCGAAGCUGCGGCAGCGACGCUUAGGCGUUGUUGGGUAGGGGAGCGUUCUGUAAGCCGUUGAAGGUGUGCUGUGAGGCAUGCUGGAGGUAUCAGAAGUGCGAAUGCUGACAUAAGUAACGAUAAAGCGGGUGAAAAGCCCGCUCGCCGGAAGACCAAGGGUUCCUGUCCAACGUUAAUCGGGGCAGGGUGAGUCGACCCCUAAGGCGAGGCCGAAAGGCGUAGUCGAUGGGAAACAGGUUAAUAUUCCUGUACUUGGUGUUACUGCGAAGGGGGGACGGAGAAGGCUAUGUUAGCCGGGCGACGGUUGUCCCGGUUUAAGCAUGUAGGCGGAGGUUCCAGGUAAAUCCGGUACCUUUUAACGCUGAGGUGUGAUGACGAGGCACUACGGUGCUGAAGUAACAAAUGCCCUGCUUCCAGGAAAAGCCUCUAAGCAUCAGGUAACAUCAAAUCGUACCCCAAACCGACACAGGUGGUCAGGUAGAGAAUACCAAGGCGCUUGAGAGAACUCGGGUGAAGGAACUAGGCAAAAUGGUGCCGUAACUUCGGGAGAAGGCACGCUGAUAUGUAGGUGAAGCCCCUGCGGGUGGAGCUGAAAUCAGUCGAAGAUACCAGCUGGCUGCAACUGUUUAUUAAAAACACAGCACUGUGCAAACACGAAAGUGGACGUAUACGGUGUGACGCCUGCCCGGUGCCGGAAGGUUAAUUGAUGGGGUUAGCGGCAACGCGAAGCUCUUGAUCGAAGCCCCGGUAAACGGCGGCCGUAACUAUAACGGUCCUAAGGUAGCGAAAUUCCUUGUCGGGUAAGUUCCGACCUGCACGAAUGGCGUAAUGAUGGCCAGGCUGUCUCCACCCGAGACUCAGUGAAAUUGAACUCGCUGUGAAGAUGCAGUGUACCCGCGGCAAGACGGAAAGACCCCGUGAACCUUUACUAUAGCUUGACACUGAACACUGGUCCUUGAUGUGUAGGAUAGGUGGGAGGCUUUGAAGCGUGGACGCCAGUCUGCGUGGAGCCAACCUUGAAAUACCACCCUUUAAUGGCUGGUGUUCUAACGUAGACCCGUAAUCCGGGUUGCGGACAGUGUCUGGUGGGUAGUUUGACUGGGGCGGUCUCCUCCCAAAGAGUAACGGAGGAGCACGAAGGUUAGCUAAUCCUGGUCGGACAUCAGGAGGUUAGUGCAAUGGCAUAAGCUAGCUUGACUGCGAGAGUGACGGCUCGAGCAGGUGCGAAAGCAGGUCAUAGUGAUCCGGUGGUUCUGAAUGGAAGGGCCAUCGCUCAACGGAUAAAAGGUACUCCGGGGAUAACAGGCUGAUACCGCCCAAGAGUUCAUAUCGACGGCGGUGUUUGGCACCUCGAUGUCGGCUCAUCACAUCCUGGGGCUGAAGUAGGUCCCAAGGGUAUGGCUGUUCGCCAUUUAAAGUGGUACGCGAGCUGGGUUUAGAACGUCGUGAGACAGUUCGGUCCCUAUCUGCCGUGGGCGCUGGAGAAUUGAGGGGGGCUGCUCCUAGUACGAGAGGACCGGAGUGGACGCAUCACUGGUGUUCGGGUUGUCAUGCCAAUGGCACUGCCCGGUAGCUAAAUGCGGAAAAGAUAAGUGCUGAAAGCAUCUAAGCACGAAACUUGCCCCGAGAUGAGUUCUCCCUGACCCUUUAAGGGUCCUGAAGGAACGUUGAAGACUACGACGUUGAUAGGUCGGGUGUGUAAGCGCAGCGAUGCGUUGAGCUAACCGAUACUAAUGAACCGUGAGGCUUAACCUU
RNAcentral lists this ribosomal RNA (2905 nucleotides) under Enterobacter asburiae. RNAcentral describes it as "23S ribosomal RNA". It matches the Rfam family "Bacterial large subunit ribosomal RNA". Lineage: Bacteria; Pseudomonadati; Pseudomonadota; Gammaproteobacteria; Enterobacterales; Enterobacteriaceae. The record is from RNAcentral.